UACGUAGGGCGCAAGCGUUGUCCGGAAUUAUUGGGCGUAAAGAGCUCGUAGGCGGCCUGUUGCGUCCGCUGUGAAAUCCCGGGGCUCAACCCCGGGCCUGCAGUGGAUACGGGCUGGCUAGAGGCAGGCAGGGGAGAACGGAAUUCCUGGUGUAGCGGUGAAAUGCGCAGAUAUCAGGAGGAACACCGGUGGCGAAGGCGGGUCUCUGGGCCGUAACUGACGCUGAGGAGCGAAAGCCAGGGGAGCGAACGGG
This 253-nucleotide ribosomal RNA is filed under the name uncultured bacterium. RNAcentral describes it as "partial 16S ribosomal RNA". It matches the Rfam family "Bacterial small subunit ribosomal RNA", at positions 524 to 776 of the family's 1533-position model. The record is from RNAcentral.